GAUGAACGCUGGCGGCGUGCCUAAUACAUGCAAGUCGAGCGAGCAGAUGAGGAGCUUGCUCCUCUGACGUUAGCGGCGGACGGGUGAGUAACACGUGGAUAACCUACCUAUAAGACUGGGAUAACUUCGGGAAACCGGAGCUAAUACCGGAUAAUAUAUUGAACCGCAUGGUUCAAUAGUGAAAGACGGUUUUGCUGUCACUUAUAGAUGGAUCCGCGCCGCAUUAGCUAGUUGGUAAGGUAACGGCUUACCAAGGCAACGAUGCGUAGCCGACCUGAGAGGGUGAUCGGCCACACUGGAACUGAGACACGGUCCAGACUCCUACGGGAGGCAGCAGUAGGGAAUCUUCCGCAAUGGGCGAAAGCCUGACGGAGCAACGCCGCGUGAGUGAUGAAGGUCUUCGGAUCGUAAAACUCUGUUAUUAGGGAAGAACAAAUGUGUAAGUAACUAUGCACGUCUUGACGGUACCUAAUCAGAAAGCCACGGCUAACUACGUG
Molecule: ribosomal RNA, 497 nt
Filed under: uncultured bacterium
Lineage: Bacteria
Description: partial 16S ribosomal RNA
Rfam family: Bacterial small subunit ribosomal RNA
Source: RNAcentral